RNAcentral lists this non-coding RNA (23 nucleotides) under Cricetulus griseus (Chinese hamster). The record is from RNAcentral. Lineage: Eukaryota; Metazoa; Chordata; Mammalia; Rodentia; Cricetidae.
GUGCAGUUUCCUGCUGGCGUCGC